RNAcentral lists this ribosomal RNA (433 nucleotides) under uncultured bacterium. RNAcentral's name for it is "partial 16S ribosomal RNA". It matches the Rfam family "Bacterial small subunit ribosomal RNA", at positions 29 to 507 of the family's 1533-position model. The record is from RNAcentral.
AACGAACGCUGGCGGCAUGCCUAACACAUGCAAGUCGAACGAGACCUUCGGGUCUAGUGGCGCACGGGUGCGUAACGCGGGGGAACCUGCCCUUAGGUUCGGAAUAACUCCCCGAAAGGGGUGCUAAUACCGGAUAAUGUCUUCGGACCAAAGAUUUAUCGCCUUUGGAUGGGCCCGCGUUGGAUUAGCUAGUUGGGAGGGUAAAAGCCUACCAAGGCGACGAUCCAUAGCUGGGCUGAGAGGAUGAUCAGCCACACUGGGACUGAGACACGUCCCAGACUACUACGGGAGGCAGCAGUGGGGAAUAUUGGACAAUGGGCGAAAGCCUGAUCCAGCAAUGCCGCGUGAGUGAUGAAGGCCUUAGGGUUGUAAAGCUCUUUUACCCGGGAUGAUAAUGACAGUACCGGGAGAAUAAGCGCCGGCUAACUCCGUG